GCUUACGGCCACACCGCCUGGUUCAUGCCCGAUCUCGUUUGAUCUCGGAAGCUAAGAUGGGUUGGGCCUGGUUAGUAAUUGGAUGGGAGACCGCCUGGGAAUACCAGGUGCUGUAAGCU
Scophthalmus maximus (turbot) is the source of this 119-nucleotide ribosomal RNA. NCBI's taxonomy places the organism in Eukaryota, Metazoa, Chordata, Actinopteri, Pleuronectiformes, Scophthalmidae. The record is from Ensembl.